UUACGGAAGGCAGCAGUGGGGAAUAUUGCACAAUGGGCGCAAGCCUGAUGCAGCAACGCCGCGUGUGCGAAGAAGGUCUUCGGAUCGUAAAGCACUUUUCGGGGAGAUGAGGAAGGACAGUAUCCCCGGAAUAAGUCUCGGCUAACUACGUGCCAGCAGCCGCGGUAAAACGUAGGAGGCAAGCGUUAUCCGAAUUUACUGGGCGUAAAGCGUGUGCAGGCGGCUCGAUAAGUUGGAUGUGAAAUCUCCUGGCUCAACUGGGAGAGGUCGUUCAAAACUAUCGGGCUCGAGGGCAGUAGAGGGAGGUGGAAUUCCCGGUGUAGUGGUGAAAUGCGUAGAUAUCGGGAGGAACACCAGUGGCGAAAGCGGCCUCCUGGACUGCACCUGACGCUCAUACACGAAAGCUAGGGGAGCGAACGGGAUUAGAUACCCCGGU
Molecule: ribosomal RNA, 436 nt
Filed under: uncultured bacterium
Lineage: Bacteria
Description: bacterial SSU rRNA
Rfam family: Bacterial small subunit ribosomal RNA
Source: RNAcentral